This 69-nucleotide transfer RNA is filed under the name Trichiurus lepturus (Atlantic cutlassfish). Its description in RNAcentral is "tRNA-Arg". It matches the Rfam family "tRNA". Rfam says of the family: Transfer RNA (tRNA) molecules are approximately 80 nucleotides in length. RNAcentral also lists the same sequence under 4 other names. Lineage: Eukaryota; Metazoa; Chordata; Actinopteri; Scombriformes; Trichiuridae. The record is from RNAcentral.
AGUUAAUUAGUUUAAAGAAAAUACUUGGUUUCGACCCAAGAGCUUGCAGUUAAAGUCCGCAAUUACCUA